CCUAGAUGUGCGAAAUUGAUAUGGGGAUUUGAGAGGGUUUGAUUGACAAAGGGGUAUGAUGAUGGAUCUGAAAAGGGUUGAUGCAAUGUCUGUUCCUGAUUCUAGUCAAUCCACUGUGACAAACCUAAUCCAUAUGAGAGACAAGCUCCCCAUGGCUGUCUACUCACGUUUAUUUUGCUUUCAUGAACUACUUUAGAACCUGGUUGAACUAAUCCCCAUGCUAUCGGUUUGUCAGAUUGUGAAACUUUCUUAUUUAUGCCAGUUUGUGAAACUAUCUUAUUGUUA
Lolium perenne is the source of this 285-nucleotide non-coding RNA. The record is from RefSeq and is a predicted model, not a curated record. Lineage: Eukaryota; Viridiplantae; Streptophyta; Magnoliopsida; Poales; Poaceae.